Molecule: long non-coding RNA, 459 nt
Organism: Lolium perenne
Lineage: Eukaryota; Viridiplantae; Streptophyta; Magnoliopsida; Poales; Poaceae
Source: RefSeq, a predicted model, not a curated record
GGCGACGCGGCGAUCUCGCCGGCGAAGGCGACGGCGACGCGACGCCUUCCCCUCCACCGCCGGCUCUCUCUUCCGCCGGCGACGUUCUCCCCGGAGGGAGACGACUUGAUAUCGUAAUGUUGUUUCGAUGUCAAUCUCAUAUGAUGAGAGAUGCUAGAUGAAGAUUGAAGUUGCUUUGUUCAAUAUUCUGUAUUGACUUUUAUAAUAUUUGGGCAUGAACUCAAUCUUAAGUAUGUUGAAAGGACCUUUGCUGUUAUUUAUGAUCAAAUUAUGUCUGCUAGAUGUCUAGCAAGUUACUUAUAUCAAAUAGUUGAUCUAGGUGCAGACUGAAGUGCUGCUAGGAUAUAUCUAUUUGUAGAGGAGUUUUGAGAAGCGGUGAUCAAAUUAUGUUUGGCAGAAGCUAUUUGUAUUAUCUUUUGAUUUUCGUCAUGAUUAAAUGUGAUAAACAUUUUAAUGUUU